This 253-nucleotide ribosomal RNA is filed under the name uncultured bacterium. Its description in RNAcentral is "partial 16S ribosomal RNA". It matches the Rfam family "Bacterial small subunit ribosomal RNA", at positions 524 to 776 of the family's 1533-position model. The record is from RNAcentral.
UACGGAGGGGGCCAGCGUUGUUCGGAAUCAUUGGGCGUAAAGGGCGCGUAGGCGGCCGAGCAAGUCGGACGUGAAAUCCCCCGGCUCAACUGGGGAACUGCAUCCGAAACUGCCUGGCUUGAGUCCUGGAGAGGGUAGUGGAAUUCCCAGUGUAGCGGUGAAAUGCGUAGAUACUGGGAGGAACACCGGUGGCGAAGGCGGCUACCUGGACAGGUACUGACGCUGAGGCGCGAAAGCGAGGGGAGCAAACAGG